This 423-nucleotide ribosomal RNA is filed under the name uncultured bacterium. RNAcentral's name for it is "bacterial SSU rRNA". It matches the Rfam family "Bacterial small subunit ribosomal RNA", at positions 207 to 622 of the family's 1533-position model. The record is from RNAcentral.
AAGACCUUGCGCUUUUGGAGCGGCCGAUGCCUGAUUAGCUUGUUGGUGAGGUAAAAGCUCACCAAGGCUUCGAUCAGUAGCUGGUCUGAGAGGACGGCCAGCCACACUGGGACUGAGACACGGCCCAGACUCCUACGGGAGGCAGCAGUGGGGAAUUUUGGACAAUGGGCGCAAGCCUGAUCCAGCCAUGCCGCGUGAGUGAAGAAGGCCUUCGGGUUGUAAAGCUCUUUCAGCCGGGAAGAAAAGGUUGCGACUAAUAAUCGCAAUCCAUGACGGUACCGAAAGAAGAAGCACCGGCUAACUACGUGCCAGCAGCCGCGGUAAUACGUAGGGUGCGAGCGUUAAUCGGAAUUACUGGGCGUAAAGGGUGCGCAGGCGGUUUUGUAAGUCAGAUGUGAAAUCCCCGGGCUUAACCUGGGAACU